This is a long non-coding RNA of Cyanistes caeruleus (blue tit), 1588 nucleotides long. The record is from Ensembl. Lineage: Eukaryota; Metazoa; Chordata; Aves; Passeriformes; Paridae.
AUGAGGCUCUGGAUCAUCCUCCCCUGGACUGCCCAGGCAUGGGAACUCCAUCCCUCUGUCCCACAGGGCCAAACUGCAGACCCCCCAGCCUUCCCCAAACACCUGCAUCCAGGGCAUUUAGGAGCUGAUUCCCCAGGGCAGGGCUGCACUUUGGGCAUUUGUUCUCCCUUUACAGCUCAGCUGCCACGAUGCAACAAAGACAAUGGUUUGGAUGGACACAAAAUCCAUUUCUGGUGUGUGCAGUGCAAGUGUGGAGGAAUUCCUGUUGGCCUGAACCAUCCGCUCUCCUGUGAGCACCUGACACUGCACAGAGCCAAAGGUGGGAUCACUACAAGGGGAUCUUCUCUUCCUCCUGCUCUCUUCAUCAUCACAGCCCAGAAACUCCUCUCCACUGGAGAAGCCCCAGCAGCAGAGCCCUUCUUGCGCUCUGUGGAUGCUGCAGGGCAAAGCCUGUGGUGGCCCCUUGGUUUGGGCUCUGCAGCUCUCAGCACCCAGAAGAAGCUCUGCCAACACCUCCUGCUUCUGCUGCAUCCUUGCACACUGUCUGAUGAUCUGAGAGCUUUUCCCAGCCCAAAUGAGCUGCAGUGAGCAGAGCCAGAGAUGAAAAUGAACUCCAGUGAUGCCUUUUUCCUGCAGGAAGAUGAGGAUGGGCAAGUCCUUCCUCUGAGGUGCCCUUCAGCCCAACACUGGGACACUGCUGCCGAGCUGGGCUCAGCUUUGUUUUCUCUCCCAAAGUAAAAGACAGGCUGAAACUAGGACAAAACAACAAAGAGGGAGAGACAAAAAGGGAGAGCCUGGGUUUGAAUUGACAGAAACCCCAGGAACCGGAGUGCAGCCCAGUAAAUAUUGGAAUGACAUUACCUGAGCUUGAGAAAAAAUUGACAAAUUGUUAGGCUGAAUUCCUGUCUCUAGUGGAACUGGAGAGCAACCACCAUGGAGAUAACGUUAUUUCCUUUAAUCAUUUUCUUUGGCAAGAGAAUCAGAAGGAAAAAGCUCCAGAGUGACUCUUAUUAUAUUUUCCCUCCCUCUGCCUUUUCUUUCUGAUUCCCUCCAUCGUUCCCAGCUCUGUCAAGAUUGUGACAAACUUAAUUACCAGCAAACAGCAGGAAUCCCAGAUGACAUAUCCAUGGUUUUUUCUUUCUUCUGACUUCAUGAGAUCUUUCUGGUCUUUAAUGUAGAGUGAAUGAGGACGGGGAGCAGAUGGUGCUGGUGUCCAAUACCAGCAGCAUCUGAGCCCUUAUCUCCUUGAGAUCUUCAGUGUCAGGAUGGGAUGUGGAUAACAAAACCUGAGUGAUGAGAUUCAGGGGUGGAGGUUCAGAAAACGGGAUUGUGCAUGACAGGCCCAGAUCUGCCAUUUGGGGGCUGUCAUAGAAACCUGCACUCAUUUCAGGGCUGCUCACAGCAGGGACUGCACAGCCCAGGCCUCUUGCUCCAAGCUCCUGGCACCAGGAUAAGGCACCUUUGUGCCUCCUGCAUCUGUAAAUUUGAUGCUCGUUGGCUAUAAAACAAGAGCUGGGUGAAACAUUGUCAUUUGCAGGGAGUUUGCCCUAAAACCAUGUUUCUAGGGCGUGAAACAGCUCAGGGUGAG